CCCUUAGAUGUUCGGGGCCGCACGCGCGCUACACUGAAGGACUCAGCGUGUCUCUCCCCCUAUCCCGAAAGGGAUGGGCAACCCGUUGAACCUCCUUCGUGCUAGGGAUUGGGGUUUGCAAUUAUCCCCCAUGAACGAGGAAUUCCUAGUAAACGCAAGUCAUCAACUUGCAUUGAUUACGUCCCUGCCCUUUGUACACACCGCCCGUCGCACCUACCGAUUGAAUGGCCCGGUGAAGUCUUCGGACUGGAGCUGACUCGUUAGCUCCAGAAAGUUGAGUAAACCUUACCAUUUAGAGGAAGGUGAAGUCGUAACA
RNAcentral lists this ribosomal RNA (316 nucleotides) under uncultured eukaryote. Its description in RNAcentral is "partial 18S ribosomal RNA". It matches the Rfam family "Eukaryotic small subunit ribosomal RNA", at positions 1470 to 1796 of the family's 1831-position model. The record is from RNAcentral.